UAUAUACGGUAUGUACGGUAUACAUACGUAUAUACGGUCUGUACGGUAUGUAUACUUAUAUACAGUUGUACAGUAUGCAUACGUAUAUACGGUCUGUACGGUAUGCAUACGUAUAUACGGUCUGUACGGUAUGCAUACGUAUAUACGGUCUGUACGGUAUGCAUACGUAUAUACGGUAUGUACAAUUUCAUACCGUAGCCGAGCUGGAAGUUGGUAGGCCCAAAUAGUAAGCCCAAUUGUUCGGCCCGAUUGGUAGGCCCAAUUGUUCGGCCCAAAUGGUAGGCCCAAAUGUUAAACCCAAAUUGGUUCGAGCCGGUUCUAAAUGUGGAUGGUUCGGUUUCUUCGGCCCAAUUGGCCAGCCCUAAUGCUUAGCCCAAGGAUUGAGCAAGCCCAAGUCAUCAUCACUGGGUGACAUGUUUUAUUGGCGUGCUUUUGAGAAUGAUUUGUUUUGAGUGAUGCUAAUUGAGAAGCGAAACGCUUUGUGGGAGUGUUUACUGUGCUUGUAUGCCAGUACAGGAUGACGAUCUGUGUGAAAACAGCUAUAUGUGCAAUGCCACGUGGUGAUUUGAGUGUGGGUUGCUUGAGGCAAUUGUUGUGUUGUAAUUUUGAGAAAUGAUGCGGUGAAGGAAUGUCAUGUUGAUGACUUAAGUGGGGAUGAGGAUUUCAUUUGUGAAUUCUCGUUGUGUGAGUUUACGUUUGUGAUGAAAGGAUUUAGUGGCCAUAGGAAUGUAUUUUUAUACAAAGGGCUGUGGUUUUGUAGAUUACUACAGUUUUGGGAAAGAUGGAGAUUCGAUGGUUAGGUUAACUGUAAUCGAGAGCAAUUAACUUGCGCUUAAAUUUCGGGACGAAAUUUCUUUAAGGAGGGUAGAUUGUAAUAACCUAGUUUUUUUUAAUCAAACAAUUUGGUGGCAAACACCGGUUCCGUGAUUUAAGGUUAGUGGACAAUUGCAUAAUUUGAAGGCCGGUGCUUUAACAUGAUUAUGCAUGAGUGGAAGAACGAAUCAAUUAAGCUAAGAAACGAAUUCUCUCUCUCUCACGUCCGAAACCACCCAAAACAGAGCAAAACUUCUCCAAACUCUCUCUCACUCCACCGGCCACCAAUCAAGACCAGAACACUUCCUAUAGCUUCGCCUCGACCUUGCGCAGCUGCAGGUGGCAGCCUUGAACCACGACACGGCCACCAGCGGCGGCGGGAAGCUCCGCCCGGUUUGAGCUCGUUUUGGUUCCAAGCUUGAUAUCUCAAGCUACCGGCCAACAAUCCUCACCAAACUUCACCCACGAGCUCGCCUCAACGUCCUGAAGCUCCCAGAAGUGGCCUUGCACGGCGGCGCUACUCGUGGUGGCGGCUGGAAGCCAGACCCGAUCAAAUCGAAAACCGAAGCUUCGAUCGGUAUAUCUCGAGCUGUAGUGCAUCGUUUUGAUUGAUUCUUUUUCCAGUGGGUUCCCCUUGAUGUUGUUAACAACUCUCUAGAAGGCAUCGAGGCCUGAAAUUGAAGUUUUUACGUCGAUCGGAGCCCUCGCCGGAUUCUGCAAAAUUCUGCAAAUUUUCCGACCACCGAAGCUUUCGAUCGGUAUAUCUCGAGCUACAGACCAUAUUUUUCUGUGAUUCUUGAACCAAUGCGUUCGUCUUGAGUUUCUUAACAACUCUCUAGAAGGAAUCGAAGCCUGAAAUUGAAGUUUUGACGUCGAAAUCAAGCCUUGCCGGAUUCUGCAAAUUUCGCCGGAUUCUGGAAAUUUUCCGGCCACCUCGACUGUUCUAGGUUAUCGACGGAUUGAUUUGGUGGACGAUUCGGAUUGAUGUAUUUGGCUUUUUAGAAGACGCAGCUGGAUUAGAGCGGGAAAUCCUACAGGUCAGGAAGAUCAAGGCGGAGAUCGUGCGGGUUAGAGUUUUUGUUUCAGUUUACAGCUUUGUAAAUUGUGAGAUGUAUUAUUAAGAGGUGUGAAGUGUGGUUGUUGUGAGAAAAAAAUUCAGGACGUUUAU
This is a long non-coding RNA of Rosa rugosa (rugosa rose), 1981 nucleotides long. RefSeq lists it as uncharacterized. The record is from RefSeq and is a predicted model, not a curated record. NCBI's taxonomy places the organism in Eukaryota, Viridiplantae, Streptophyta, Magnoliopsida, Rosales, Rosaceae. The transcript is spliced from 3 exons.